UACGGAGGGUGCAAGCGUUAAUCGGAAUUACUGGGCGUAAAGCGCGCGCAGGUGGUUUUGCAAGUCAGGGGUGAAAGCCCAGAGCUCAACUCUGGAACUGCCUUUGAGACUGUAAGACUUGGGUACGGGAGAGGUGAGUGGAAUUCCGAGUGUAGAGGUGAAAUUCGUAGAUAUUCGGAAGAACACCAGUGGCGAAGGCGGCUCACUGGCCCGUUACCGACACUCAGGCGCGAUAGCGUGGGGAGCAAACAGG
RNAcentral lists this ribosomal RNA (253 nucleotides) under uncultured prokaryote. RNAcentral describes it as "partial 16S ribosomal RNA". It matches the Rfam family "Bacterial small subunit ribosomal RNA", at positions 524 to 776 of the family's 1533-position model. The record is from RNAcentral.